CAUGGAAGGGACAGAGGGCAGAGGCUCAAAGCACGGAGCAUCUCUCUGCAGUGUUUCUGAAGCCCACCCUGAGGGUGGCUGGCCUUUCACCUGCUCUGAAGCUGCUGCUGCCUCAGCCACCCAAGAUGAGUGAAGGAUGAGCGUCCUGAUGGACACAGCAGUCACUUCCAGCAGCAGGAGUUGUUGUCAGUAAUCAGUUCCUGCAAGUGCCUGAUGAUUUCACAGCCCCUGUAGAGCCUGACGUGGAGAAGCUGCUGGCCCACCCCAGUUGGGAUCUCCUGUCCAUAUCCCUGUGGAUGUUCCUGUUUCCAUACUGGAAACACCUGUGGAUUUCAAUGGCUGCUGGAAACCAUCACUUUCCACCCAAAUGAUGAUGUGAUUGUGACUGGCCAAGAAAGCUGCAUCACUUGCUCAGAUCAUGUGAGCUUUAAUUGAGGAAAACAAACUUCAGAGCAAGUUUCCAGGCCCUGCAUAUUCCAGAAGAAGUGAGAAGCACAUGACCAUCUCUUGUAAAAGAAGAGGAAAAUGAGGGGUUUUCCCUUUGCGGAGGAG
This 552-nucleotide long non-coding RNA is filed under the name Parus major (Great Tit). Its description in RNAcentral is "lncRNA (ENSPMJG00000017355.1)". Lineage: Eukaryota; Metazoa; Chordata; Aves; Passeriformes; Paridae. The record is from RNAcentral.